AUGCUCACGUGACAUUGCAGUUCUUCGUCAUCAUGAAAGUUCAUUAUUUGCAUGCAUUUAAACAGUUUACACUUCUGAUAUAUGGUUUUCUGAGUGCACACAUCCGAAGCACGUGCACAGAAACUGGCUAUCAGACAGCGUAUCCUUGUCGUAAAUAUAAGCUUCCCUGUGGGCAGCGCAAUACACGUGAAUUUGUUGACUAAGCUGACGGAACAGAAAAUUCGUUUGGAAACCAUGUCCACUGAUCAGAAACAAACAGUCAAACACAGUGAAAGCCUAUUGGGAGACAAGGCACCCUAGUAACCAUGGCCGUUGCUAGGGUAACAGCGGAGAAAUGGAGGGUGGCGAGUAGGUGUCCAAAGUGUCCUCAACAUUAACAUGAUGAGCUCAAUAAGACAGGAUGACAUACUGUCAGCUUUUUCAUUGAAAUAUUACUCUAAAAUAAACAACAAAGUAAACAAAAAUAUUAUAUAAUUGUUGGUCAUAUAUGGUUUUAUUAUCAUGUUUAAAGCAAUACCACAUUCACAAUCAUGCUGUGGUUCAGCUGUAGACAAAGAGUCUUUCAUAUGACAAUUGUAUAAAUGAGAAGUAAAUAUCAACUUGCAUUCUGUAAGAGAUAAUGUAUGGUAAAAAAAAAAAAAAAAAAAAAGUAAAAUGAAAUAUUGGUAUCAUUCAAUAUUUGAAUGAUAUCAGUCCACAAUCUGUUUUCUGACUUGUGAUGCAUGCAGCCUGGAAUUAAACCACAUUUUUUCAUUGGCAAGAGGAGAACUGGCUUGCUUAGUUGGGGACACUUAAAGGGUUAGUUCACCCAGAAAUGAAAUUUCUGUCAUUAAUUACUCACCCUCAUGUUGUUCCACACCCGUAAGACCUAAGAGAAUACUUUUUGUGCGCAAAAACAAAAUAAAAAUAAUGGCUUAAUGUCGCAGAGCUUACGUGUUUACGUCAGAACUGAGCCGGCGUUCUAACGUAAACAUGGAAGCUCUGUGUCUGCGCCGAUAGCCUUGUGGGCAGCAUGCCGACAUAUAGCGCCAUUGCGCUUUGGCCGCUCCGAGUUUGAGUCCCAACUCAUGGUCCUUUCCCGAUCCUGUCCCCCUCUCUCUCUCCCACUUCACUUCCUGUCUACAUACUGUCCUAGCACAAUAAAGGCAAAACGCCAAAAAUAAAUCUUUAAUAAAAAACAAAAAAACAACAACAAAACAUGAAAGCUCUGCAAUGUUAAUAGUGUAUGAGAAUGAGAGUGGAGAGGCGAAUUUGUUGAAUAAAGUCAUUAUUUCAACUUUGUUUUUGCACACAAAAGUAUUCUUGUCGCUUCAUAAUAUUAAGGUUCAACCACAGUAGUCAUGUUGACUGUUUUAAAAAGGUUUUACUACUUUUCUAAACAUUGAAUGACGGUUAUUUUGUUGCUUUCAAUUGAGGAUAAAAAAAACCUUUCUGAUUUCAGCAAAAUAUCUUAAUUUGUGUUCUGAAGAUAAACGAAGGUCUUAUGGGUGUGGAACAACAUGAGGGCUUUUAUACAGUAUCUCACAGAAGUGAGUACACCCCUCACAUUUUUGUAAAUAUUUUAUUAUAUCUUUUCAUGUGACAACACUGAAGAAAUGACACUUUGUUACAAUGUAAAGUAGUGAGUGUACAGCUUGUAUAACAGUGUAA
Ctenopharyngodon idella (grass carp) is the source of this 1650-nucleotide long non-coding RNA. RefSeq lists it as uncharacterized. NCBI's taxonomy places the organism in Eukaryota, Metazoa, Chordata, Actinopteri, Cypriniformes, Xenocyprididae. The transcript is spliced from 3 exons. The record is from RefSeq and is a predicted model, not a curated record.